Molecule: long non-coding RNA, 4950 nt
Filed under: Homo sapiens (human)
Lineage: Eukaryota; Metazoa; Chordata; Mammalia; Primates; Hominidae
Description: HSALNT0383719
Source: RNAcentral
ACAGAUGUGAGCCACCACACCCGGCCUACUCUGUUAAUUUAAACAACUAUUAAAUGAGACAAUACACUGCAAAGCACUUAGAAAAGUGCCUGACACAGGAAUAAGUUUUCUUUUUUCUUUUUUUAUUUUAUUUAUUUUUUUAUUAUACUUUAAGUUUUCAAUAAAUGCGAAUGUUUGUUAUUACAUAAAUUUAAAAAAAAAAAAUAGCCACCUGGCUCCAUUCUUGGCCACAAACUCUGAAGAGGUGGAGUUAAAGUGUGUGAGGUAUGUCGGAUAACCUCCCAUGCAAGUCACUACCACAGCUGACAUCCCGGAGCCAGAGAACUUGAUGAAUGUCUUCAAUGGUCACAGCUGAAAAGGGAACUAACUCCAGGUCCCCAGGCUGACUUGCCCUCCGAGCCUGGAGGGCAAACUCUGCUAAUUAACUCUCUUUGCUUGGGUUCGCCUCUGUCAUCUUCACCCCUGUGCCAACAGGCUAUCUCCACAGAUAGCCUGCUCUCGUGUGCCCUCUACUGGAGGGCUGUGGUUCCAGAGUUGCUCCAGCCUCGGACUCGGCUCCCCGCAGACGGAAUGUCCUCCUCCAGGGAGAGGCUCGAGUCAAGUGCUAAUGUGUUGUCAACCUCUGACUCCAGAGAAGCGGAUUAUAUGAUUUAAUGAUAGUUCCGCAUCAGAAAAGAUUUUGAAACGUGUAGCUCAAAACAGUAAAAUUUCACAGUGAUUAUCUGAAACUGAAGUAGUCCAAACCGCUGACGGUGUAACCUGAGCAACUUGUUUUAACUCCUCUGAGGCUGUUUCCUCAUCUGUACGGUGGGAAUAGCAGUACUUACCUAACCAGGCUGAGGAUUAAAUGAAUUAGUAUCUGUAAAGUGCUUAGAAUGGUACAUAGCACAGAGCAGUGUUCUUAAAUAUUUCUUGAAAAAAUUAAUAAAGGAGAAGCCUACCUUAAACCUUCAGAGAAAAUCUGAAGUCGAAAUUUUUAAAAGCUAAAUUUUAGAAUCAAUUGCAUUUUAAAGUCAUCAUGAAACAUGAGGUUGCUGCUACACAGUCACUUGUGCUGGAUUAUAUAACAGGUGAAAACUUAUUCUCUUGGGAAUUUCCAGAACUCUGUGGCACAGCCAAAAUACACCGACCUUGAAUACAUUGUUCUGGAACAAAGUGGAUGUACUGAACACUGAAUUGAUGUUACUACUUCGUACCAAGCACACAGCACUGAAUGCUCUCACGCUCAAUUAUCUGACAGUGAUGCUAGUAAGAAUAAAACAUAAUUUUUAAUCUUAUUUAAAAUGUAUUAUGCACUCCCAGAGUACUUACAAGAAACUACUCUUCUGCUUUUCAUGGAUAUCUAUUCAUAAGAAGAAAGACAGCUGGUUUUGGGGCUGGUGGUGGGUUUUUCCAUUGUUUUCAAAAGACAGAGAGCUAUGCAUAUGCUGACUUCCAAAGAGGCUAUCAUCAGUCACCGGAAAUCCACAGAAAAGGUCACUGCCAGAGAUCUGCCAUGUGUGAUCCACCCACUCUCACUUCAAGGCCACUAGCACCACUACCAGGCUGACACAAGGCCCCUGGGAAGGUGGCCCAGUGCAGGACAGACACAAAAGGGACCACAGUCAAGGAGCAGCCUUACUUUCUCACCUCACCCAAGAUAGAGAGCUAUGGGCCAAGGGAGGGGAAAUCAGGAUAUGGCCACCCAGGCCAGGGCUGCCCCCACUCCUCAACCCUGCUCCCCUGGAGAAAGACCGUACUCUUAUCAAGGGCCCUGUGGGUGACAAAGAGCUAGAGAGCCACUGUGACCACUGGGUUUCUGCACCAUUUGGCUAAUGAAAACCAUGACCCUCUCUGGGUCUCAGUCUUCUCAUCUGUGAAGUGGAAGGAUAGGCAAAAUGACAUGAAUAACAGAAUGAGUGACUAUAACCCAAGCCCACAGCUUAGUGUCAAGGAUUGUGAGAACGAAGCAAAAGGCAUCAAGCACUCUGAAUUGUUCAAAUAAUGAAGAUGAUGCCCACAAAGACAGAUAGAACAUGCCUCAAAGCUUCUCAGUUUUCCUACGACUAAGAUAACCAGUCACCAUGUGGCAUGACUCCGAGGACCACGUACAGGCUUUGCAUCUUCUGUGAAGGCUUCAGUUGCCCUUGGGGAUACAUCGCCGUUCUGUCCACCAACACUCUCUCAUGUUCUCAGGACAUAAUUACCUAUUUCUGUUCUAUCCUCACCCCCUAAAAGAUUAGUCUAGAACCUGUUCUUAUUAAGCUCUGCAUUGUCAUUGCUGAACACUCUGUCAUGCAGUAGGUGCUCAAUAAAUAUCUAACCCCCGUACACACAUCAAAAACAAAAGAGCAUCUAUGGGUCUUUAUACUGUAAGGUUUUACUUUCUUCUCCCCUACUUCCCUACUAUUGGUCCCUCCAUCUAGACCUUACGAUCUGCAGUGGUCUACAUUUGGGACCCUUACAGUAAACGUGUGCCACUUCUCUGAAAAGUCAUGCAGCUGCUCCCAGCUCCGUCUCUGCAUGACCAGGCAAGUGAGUGCAGACCUCAUCUUACAUCUGUGUGGUUCUCUUUUCUGCAGGCUGAAAUGCUGCUCUCCCCAUCAACUGUGAGGAUGCACUUGCUGCCCUCUUGCCCACCAAGGUAUGGGGCCUGGAGAGCUACGUUUGUGUCUGCUCUGACUUUGGACAGCCCCCACAGGGGUCAUUCCCCGGCAGCUCAUUCCAUCACUGAGAUGUGCUGAGAUCCCAGAGCCGCCUGCACCCUUGAGGUUCCUCUUCGGUCAUCAUUCCUUGCUUGGACUUCUUUAGACGUCUAGAGACUUCCGAGGUCGGUGAGCAGACUGUGUCCUUAACCAGCAUUUUGUUUCUCAGGGCCUCCCCGGGCCCCUCACCACCUCCCUCUCAGACUCCCAAACCCUGGAACUGAAUUCAAGGCAACCUUCUUCCCUCUUUGAAAGGUUUAACAAACAGCGUCUCAACUUUAACCUUGGCAAGUACAUUAACCAAGUUCCAGGUCACAUGAAUUAACGGAUGGCCCACUUAAAACAAACCACACUGAGUAGCUACGAGGAAUGUCUCCACUGCGGCAAGUGCAAAAUCCAAGUGAAGGCCCUGAUCAGCAAAUUGAGCGUGCUUCAGGACACCCGCCCCUCCUGCCUGGCCCCCUGCCGCUGCAGCAACACAUGUGAACUGACACGGUAUCUGAGCACACCCCGGGAAACAGACCGCAGCCCUCCCUGGCGCCCAGUGAUUACAGGCCAAGGCUGAAAGCAGCAACAAGAACCAAGAAACAAAGCCUUCUGUGAAACCAGAAACCACACAAGGUCACAAAAACAGCAAGAACUUGUAAAUCCUGAAAACCCUUCAGUGAGGAAUUUUCCUAAGCACCUGUGUCCAGCUCUGAAACAACAGUGGCUUGACACAUACCUGAGACGAUGAGAGCACAAAUCCAGCCGCCCCUCCGGAAAGACCAUUCAAGGUCACGGGCGUUUUAAGAUGUGGUUCUCUUUUGGGCUUAUCUGUGGAAAAACAUCCAAGGCACAGACCAAACAGCUGCUUUGAAAACACACUCAAGACAGACCACAUCCUUGCACACCGCUGUGGCCUCAGGACUCUGGGACUAAGGCAGGUUAUUAUUAACCUCCAAGUCAGACAACCUCCAGUGGAGCCAGGACUCAAACCUGGGACUGCCCAGCUGGAGAAGGAGUCUGGUUCCAGGUUCCUGAGCUACGUAACUAGCUGGCUUCCCCCCGGAUCACAAGAUGUCGUCAGACACCUACUGGAGCUAUGUGGAUCCUUAUUCACACUCAGAGAGAGCACUGCUUCCCAGAGCCACCAAACCACAGUUCUGAGCAGCGUUCUAAGGGACCAACCUGAACUGUGGCCAGGAAAUGCCUCCCUGCUGAUUACAGUGUGGGGUACAGUCCAUCUUUUGGGGGAGGGGAGGACGCUCGAAUGCUAGUUGGGGUUAAUUUCACUCAAAAUGUGUGGCUGCUAUGCAGUGCAGAUAAGAGUGGUCCCCAGAACAAAAUCUGGGCGCUGUGAGCAAAAGGAAAUGGUUGCUGAUCCAUGUCCCCCAAGGCACCCCAUGGCUCAAGUAAUGCUCCGUGUUAAUCCUUGUGCUGAAACUGCACAUACUUCUUGAGAACGCCUUGUCUGGAGCGGUAAGCAAUCUAGCAUUUUAACUUCCCCUCAAGGAACUGAUUUGUCCCUUGUGACCCCAUUAAUGUUUGCAGAUGCCUUGACCUUCAUUAAUUACGGGAGUUUUUGUAAAGCUGAACAUUGAGGCCAACAGCAGCCAUACUUCUCUUUUAGGAAAAUGGCAGCCACUCUGAGCCUCGAGGUUUACACAGCCCCCAACACUCUCUGGAUGGGACUGUACAUGCAGCACGGGGGUCAUCUGAGCCACCAGCUACUCAUCUUGUAUAGAAACAAAACAAAAAAGAACUGAGUACAGUAACCAAGGAAGAAAAUCAUAAAAGUUCACACGCUGGAAACAACUUUCUAAUUCUCUUAUCUAUACUUGGCCACAGAUGAGCUAAGAAUCAUCACCAGUAGUUAACUCAAGAGAGGCAUGCAAAUAUGUGGUAAGAUGCUAUAAUUUUGAGGUUAGAAAAUAAAUCCAUGUAUUUAUAACUUAAAUAGUGAUUUGAAUCAAGGAGUAUUAAUGGCUGUACCCUUAGAAAAAGAAUGAUUCUAACCACUUACCCUUCAGCACCCAACCCCUAUCAAAAGCAAACAUAUUCUGUGAUAACAAACAUCGUAAUAUCAUCUUUAUUUGUCUGCCCUGGAAAAAACACCAAAUCAUGACUGGUGUUCCUGUUAUUGAUUCCUCCCCAACAAGGAAAAAAAAAAAGUGACCUUUUGGCUGGGCACAGUGGCUAGUGCCUAUAAUCUCACCUCUUCAAAAGUAAAAAAAAGUUAAAAAAAAAAAUUAGCUGGGCGUGGUGGUGUACAUAUACAGUUCUA